This 1372-nucleotide ribosomal RNA is filed under the name uncultured bacterium. RNAcentral describes it as "bacterial SSU rRNA". It matches the Rfam family "Bacterial small subunit ribosomal RNA", at positions 28 to 1381 of the family's 1533-position model. The record is from RNAcentral.
GAUGAACGCUGGCGGCGUGCCUAAUACAUGCAAGUCGAGCGAACGGACGAGAAGCUUGCUUCUCUGAUGUUAGCGGCGGACGGGUGAGUAACACGUGGAUAACCUACCUAUAAGACUGGGAUAACUUCGGGAAACCGGAGCUAAUACCGGAUAAUAUUUUGAACCGCAUGGUUCAAAAGUGAAAGACGGUCUUGCUGUCACUUAUAGAUGGAUCCGCGCUGCAUUAGCUAGUUGGUAAGGUAACGGCUUACCAAGGCAACGAUGCAUAGCCGACCUGAGAGGGUGAUCGGCCACACUGGAACUGAGACACGGUCCAGACUCCUACGGGAGGCAGCAGUAGGGAAUCUUCCGCAAUGGGCGAAAGCCUGACGGAGCAACGCCGCGUGAGUGAUGAAGGUCUUCGGAUCGUAAAACUCUGUUAUUAGGGAAGAACAUAUGUGUAAGUAACUGUGCACAUCUUGACGGUACCUAAUCAGAAAGCCACGGCUAACUACGUGCCAGCAGCCGCGGUAAUACGUAGGUGGCAAGCGUUAUCCGGAAUUAUUGGGCGUAAAGCGCGCGUAGGCGGUUUUUUAAGUCUGAUGUGAAAGCCCACGGCUCAACCGUGGAGGGUCAUUGGAAACUGGAAAACUUGAGUGCAGAAGAGGAAAGUGGAAUUCCAUGCGUAGCGGUGAAAUGCGCAGAGAUAUGGAGGAACACCAGUGGCGAAGGCGACUUUCUGGUCUGUAACUGACGCUGAUGUGCGAAAGCGUGGGGAUCAAACAGGAUUAGAUACCCUGGUAGUCCACGCCGUAAACGAUGAGUGCUAAGUGUUAGGGGGUUUCCGCCCCUUAGUGCUGCAGCUAACGCAUUAAGCACUCCGCCUGGGGAGUACGACCGCAAGGUUGAAACUCAAAGGAAUUGACGGGGACCCGCACAAGCGGUGGAGCAUGUGGUUUAAUUCGAAGCAACGCGAAGAACCUUACCAAAUCUUGACAUCCUUUGACAACUCUAGAGAUAGAGCUUUCCCCUUCGGGGGACAAAGUGACAGGUGGUGCAUGGUUGUCGUCAGCUCGUGUCGUAAGAUGUUGGGUUAAGUCCCGCAACGAGCGCAACCCUUAAGCUUAGUUGCCAUCAUUAAGUUGGGCACUCUAAGUUGACUGCCGGUGACAAACCGGAGGAAGGUGGGGAUGACGUCAAAUCAUCAUGCCCCUUAUGAUUUGGGCUACACACGUGCUACAAUGGACAAUACAAAGGGCAGCGAAACCGUGAGGUCAAGCAAAUCCCAUAAAGUUGUUCUCAGUUCGGAUUGUAGUCUGCAACUCGACUACAUGAAGCUGGAAUCGCUAGUAAUCGUAGAUCAGCAUGCUACGGUGAAUACGUUCCCGGGUCU